RNAcentral lists this ribosomal RNA (506 nucleotides) under uncultured bacterium. Its description in RNAcentral is "partial 16S ribosomal RNA". It matches the Rfam family "Bacterial small subunit ribosomal RNA", at positions 30 to 523 of the family's 1533-position model. The record is from RNAcentral.
AUUGAACGCUGGCGGCAGGCCUAACACAUGCAAGUCGAACGGUAACAGGAAGCAGCUUGCUGCUUCGCUGACGAGUGGCGGACGGGUGAGUAAUGUCUGGGAAACUGCCUGAUGGAGGGGGAUAACUACUGGAAACGGUAGCUAAUACCGCAUAACGUCGCAAGACCAAAGAGGGGGACCUUCGGGCCUCUUGCCAUCGGAUGUGCCCAGAUGGGAUUAGCUAGUAGGUGGGGUAACGGCUCACCUAGGCGACGAUCCCUAGCUGGUCUGAGAGGAUGACCAGCCACACUGGAACUGCGACACGGUCCAGACUCCUACGGGAGGCAGCAGUGGGGAAUAUUGCACAAUGGGCGCAAGCCUGAUGCAGCCAUGCCGCGUGUAUGAAGAAGGCCUUCGGGUUGUAAAGUACUUUCAGCGGGGAGGAAGGCGAUGGGGUUAAUAACCUUGUCGAUUGACGUUACCCGCAGAAGAAGCACCGGCUAACUCCUUGCCAGCAGCCGCAGUAA